AGGAUGAACGCUGGCGGCGUGCCUAACACAUGCAAGUCGAACGUCCUGUCUCGCAAGAGGCAGGGAGUGGCGGACGGGUGAGUACCACGUGGGUUAUCUACCGUGAGGUGAGGAAUACCGGCGAGAAAUCGCCGACAAGACCGCAUAGCCUCGGUGCAAGCCGAGGAAAGCUUUCUCGAGAGAGGGAGCGCCACACGAGGAGCCUGCGCCCGAUUAGCUAGCUGGUGGAGUAACGGUUCACCAGGGCGACGAUCGGUAGCUGGUCUGAGAGGACGAUCAGCCACACUGGGAUUGAGAACGGCCCAGACUCCUACGGGGGGCAGCAGUGAGGAAUUUUCCGCAAUGGACGAAAGUCUGACGGAGCAACGCCGCGUGCAGGAGGAAGGUUUUCGGAUCGUAAACUGACUUUUCUCGGGGACGAGCAAGGACGGUACCCGAGGAAGAAGCCCCGGCUAACUACGUGCCAGCAGCCGC
This 474-nucleotide ribosomal RNA is filed under the name uncultured bacterium. RNAcentral's name for it is "SSU rRNA". It matches the Rfam family "Bacterial small subunit ribosomal RNA", at positions 26 to 518 of the family's 1533-position model. The record is from RNAcentral.